AGAAAAGAAAAAACAGGAAAGGGAGAAGAAUACACAGACACAGAAUACAUGCGUUGUAAAUGCCAGUUGUGUGAAAACAAAAUUGGUGUAAUAUGUAGCUGGAUAUAGUCAGGCUGGCAUAAAGAAUCAAAAAGACUUUCCUGGAAGUUUAAUCAUGUUGCAACAUAACAAAAAGAGAACAACUGGAAAGUCAGUUGUCAAAAAUAAGAUGGCUUCAAGCUCUGCAAAAACACAGGGAAAGUACAAAUGGGCAUGCAAAUGGAUGCUUCUGAUGCCUUGACCAUGUCCUGUGGGUCCAGGAGCCCUUCUUUCCUGACUGUUGAUCCUGCUCCGUUAUCAAGUUGACUCUUUUUGCCUCAUUUCACCCUACUUCCCCUAACCUUCCUCGUUUUGUUGGUAUUUGUCAUGAUCACCUUUGUCACCUUUUCUAACCCAAAGUAUGUUUGCAUUUUGGCUAGGAGAGGAAGAAUAAACUGUUGCCUGUGAUAGUAAUAAGGGUUUAAUUAAUAAAGAAAUAAAUCUGUGGUUCAGCU
Molecule: long non-coding RNA, 533 nt
Filed under: Homo sapiens (human)
Lineage: Eukaryota; Metazoa; Chordata; Mammalia; Primates; Hominidae
Description: HSALNT0070832
Source: RNAcentral